CUGCAGAAAAUUCACAGGGCCAAUG
This 25-nucleotide unclassified non-coding RNA is filed under the name Mus musculus (house mouse). RNAcentral describes it as "piRNA piR-mmu-68517786". Lineage: Eukaryota; Metazoa; Chordata; Mammalia; Rodentia; Muridae. The record is from RNAcentral.